GCCUAAGUGGUGAAAUAGGUAAACACAAGGGACUUAAAAUCCCUCGGUCAGAAAUGACUUUGUGGGUUCAAAUCCCACCUUAGGUA
This 86-nucleotide transfer RNA is filed under the name Crassvirales sp. Its description in RNAcentral is "tRNA-Leu". It matches the Rfam family "tRNA". Rfam says of the family: Transfer RNA (tRNA) molecules are approximately 80 nucleotides in length. Their secondary structure includes four short double-helical elements and three loops (D, anti-codon, and T loops). Lineage: Duplodnaviria; Heunggongvirae; Uroviricota; Caudoviricetes; Crassvirales. The record is from RNAcentral.